RNAcentral lists this ribosomal RNA (254 nucleotides) under uncultured bacterium. Its description in RNAcentral is "partial 16S ribosomal RNA". It matches the Rfam family "Bacterial small subunit ribosomal RNA", at positions 524 to 776 of the family's 1533-position model. The record is from RNAcentral.
UACGGAGGGUGCGAGCGUUAUCCGGAAUCACUGGGUUUAAAGGGUGCGUAGGCGGUCUGAUAAGUCAGUUGUGAAAUUCCCCGGCUUAACCGGGCGGACUGCGAUUGAUACUGUCGGACUUGAAUCAGGUUGAGGUAGGCGGAAUGUGACAUGUAGCGGUGAAAUGCUUAGAUAUGUCAUAGAACACCGAUUGCGAAGGCAGCUUGCUGGGCUUCGAUUGACGCUGAGGCACGAAAGCGUGGGGAGCAAACAGG